Molecule: ribosomal RNA, 873 nt
Filed under: Microbacterium testaceum
Lineage: Bacteria; Bacillati; Actinomycetota; Actinomycetes; Micrococcales; Microbacteriaceae
Description: bacterial SSU rRNA
Rfam family: Bacterial small subunit ribosomal RNA
Source: RNAcentral
GAGCCAGCUUGCUUGGUGGAUCAGUGGCGAACGGGUGAGUAACACGUGAGCAACCUGCCCUGGACUCUGGGAUAAGCGCUGGAAACGGCGUCUAAUACUGGAUAUGAGACGUGAUCGCAUGGUCGUGUUUGGAAAGAUUUUUCGGUCUGGGAUGGGCUCGCGGCCUAUCAGCUUGUUGGUGAGGUAAUGGCUCACCAAGGCGUCGACGGGUAGCCGGCCUGAGAGGGUGACCGGCCACACUGGGACUGAGACACGGCCCAGACUCCUACGGGAGGCAGCAGUGGGGAAUAUUGCACAAUGGGCGGAAGCCUGAUGCAGCAACGCCGCGUGAGGGAUGACGGCCUUCGGGUUGUAAACCUCUUUUAGCAGGGAAGAAGCGAAAGUGACGGUACCUGCAGAAAAAGCGCCGGCUAACUACGUGCCAGCAGCCGCGGUAAUACGUAGGGCGCAAGCGUUAUCCGGAAUUAUUGGGCGUAAAGAGCUCGUAGGCGGUUUGUCGCGUCUGCUGUGAAAUCCCGAGGCUCAACCUCGGGCCUGCAGUGGGUACGGGCAGACUAGAGUGCGGUAGGGGAGAUUGGAAUUCCUGGUGUAGCGGUGGAAUGCGCAGAUAUCAGGAGGAACACCGAUGGCGAAGGCAGAUCUCUGGGCCGUAACUGACGCUGAGGAGCGAAAGGGUGGGGAGCAAACAGGCUUAGAUACCCUGGUAGUCCACCCCGUAAACGUUGGGAACUAGUUGUGGGGACCAUUCCACGGUUUCCGUGACGCAGCUAACGCAUUAAGUUCCCCGCCUGGGGAGUACGGCCGCAAGGCUAAAACUCAAAGGAAUUGACGGGGACCCGCACAAGCGGCGGAGCAUGCGGAUUAAUUCGAUGC